This is a small nuclear RNA of Mastomys coucha (southern multimammate mouse), 103 nucleotides long. NCBI's taxonomy places the organism in Eukaryota, Metazoa, Chordata, Mammalia, Rodentia, Muridae. The record is from RefSeq and is a predicted model, not a curated record.
GUCCUUCAGCAGCACAUAUACUAAAACUGAAACAAUACAGAGAAGAUUAACAUUUCUGCUGUGUAAGAAUAACAUGUAAAUUCAUGAAAUAUCCCAUAAUUUU